GUAGUCUCGCACAGAUGCAUAUCAAUAAGCGAGGAAAAGAAACUAACAAGGAUUCCCCUAGUAACGGCGAGUGAAGCGGGAAGAGCUCAAAUUUGAAAUCUUAAAGGGUUUCCCUUUACGAAUUGUAGUUUAAAGAAGUGUUUUCUGUUGAGGUUUUGGUAAAAGUUCUUUGGAAUAGGACAUCAUAGAGGGUGAGAAUCCCGUAUUUGACCUUUACUUUCAACUUUGUGAUACACUUUCAAAGAGUCGGAUUGUUUGGGAAUGCAGUCCAAAAUGGGUGGUAAAUUUCAUCUAAAGCUAAAUAUUGGCGAGAGACCGAUAGCGAACAAGUACCGUGAGGGAAAGAUGAAAAGAACUUUGAAAAGAGAGUUAAACAGUACGUGAAAUUGUCAAAAGGGAAGCGUUUGACACCAGUGUUGUUUUUCUGAAAAUCAAUUAAAGAACUGUUUAUGCUAAGUUGUUUAGACUUUAUCAGCUAUCUGUUUAGUUUUGAGCUUUUCUUUAAUGCACUUUUCAGUUAACAAGUCAACAUCAAUUUCUUUUGCUGUAAAAAAGCUUGAGGAAGGUGGCUUGAGAUUCGUCUUAAGUGUUUAUAGCCUCUUGCCUAUGCAGUCGGAGAGAUUGAGGUCUGCAGCGUAGAUCCUUCGGGGCUAAAUGCAUUUGUGCUAAGUUAUAGCAUUUCAUAGACAACUUGUUGACUAUGAUUUGUCUUGUAGCUUACUCGCUUAUGUUAUUUUACCUACGCUUAGGAUGUUGACAGCAGUAUAGACUGU
This 773-nucleotide ribosomal RNA is filed under the name uncultured Neocallimastigales. Its description in RNAcentral is "partial large subunit ribosomal RNA". It matches the Rfam family "Eukaryotic large subunit ribosomal RNA", at positions 24 to 629 of the family's 3401-position model. Lineage: Eukaryota; Fungi; Neocallimastigomycota; Neocallimastigomycetes; Neocallimastigales. The record is from RNAcentral.